This 555-nucleotide long non-coding RNA is filed under the name Betta splendens (Siamese fighting fish). RNAcentral describes it as "lncRNA (ENSBSLG00000015437.1)". The record is from RNAcentral. Lineage: Eukaryota; Metazoa; Chordata; Actinopteri; Anabantiformes; Osphronemidae.
CGCCCUGUCUGCUCCCCAGCAGAUGGUCCGAGGGAAGAAGAUGGAGAGGAAAAAAAAAAGAAGAUAAAUGACUGCGUGCAAGAGUUUCAAAAUAGGAGACGGAGAAGCGUUUCGACCCUUUCCCCAUCGUCCACCCUUUGCACCUCUCUCCUCUUGACCAGGUGAAUGUUGCCAGCUGCUGCUCCCUGCUGCCAAAAUGCCUCGUCCUUCCUGACUUCAUGUUUGAUUCUGCUUCGGAUUUGCUGCCCGUGGAAAGUGAAGCUUGUUCAGUGGACACAGCACACAAGUCCAACAUCCUGUGAAGAUCGCUCCUGCGCGAUCGGACAGCCGUGCCACAUGAGCGCCGCCGAGGAAGCCGUGCUCCUGGGGAGCAACACAUUGGUCUUCAACCUGAGGUUUUUGCGUGUGGAAAUCAAAGGCCUGCUGGACGCUGUGCAGCUCUCCUGCGCUAGGUCAACGACCACACAAAGGACAUAUGGGCCCGCUCUGCUUUAACCGCCCCCUCCAGCCUGUCACACUUCAUCAGAAAUAAAAGCAAAGGAAAUAUUUGUAGCA